CCGGGCUUUAGGGGCGCUCCAGACGCUCUUCAGGUCCACGGAGUGCCGACGAGAGCGCGGAGCGGCGCAGCAUCGGCGAACUGAGGAGGCUGCCAGGGGAGAGGCGCGACGGACCAGUAGGGCCCGGGUGUGGUGGUGUUGCCUGUCAGCAUCCUCUGUCAGAUGGAAGAGCUCUCUUUCGCGCUUUUGUAAGAGUGGUCUGCUGUGAUGAAUUCUCUCAGCCUUCGUUUGUCUGGGAGAGGGUUUUAUCUCUCCAUGUUUGAAGGACACUUUUCUCGGGAAAGUCUUUCAGUUAUUUAUACAACUUACUGUCCUGCUCUGUACACCAUCUAUGAACCAGUGAUUCGACUUAAAAGUGAGACAGAAACUCAGCUCUCUCAAAGACCCUUCAGCUCAAAAGAAGCUCAGAGCAUCUUAUUAGAACCUCAUCAUCUAAAGAAUCUCCAGCCUACCGAAUGUAAAACUAUUCAAGGCAUUCUGCAUGAGAUUGGUGGAACUGGUAUACUUGUUUUUCUCUUUGCUAGGGUAAUAAUCCCUGAUUAUAAUUUUAUCUAGAGAGAAACUACUUUAUUAUUGCUAAAGAGUUUCUUUUGGACUACCAAAAAAAAAAAAAAAAAAAAAGCUGCACUCAACUAUAUUAAAUUUUUAGCAUUAAAG
This is a long non-coding RNA of Cynocephalus volans (Philippine flying lemur), 657 nucleotides long. RefSeq lists it as uncharacterized. The record is from RefSeq and is a predicted model, not a curated record. The transcript has 3 exons. Lineage: Eukaryota; Metazoa; Chordata; Mammalia; Dermoptera; Cynocephalidae.